GACGAACCGUGCGAACGUUGUUCGGAAUCACUGGGCUUAAAGGGCGCGUAGGCGGGCUGCCAAGUCUGGGGUGAAAUCCCACGGCUCAACCGUGGGACUGCCUCGGAUACUGGCGGCCUCGAGGGAGGUAGGGGCAUGCGGAACUGUGGGUGGAGCGGUGAAAUGCGUUGAUAUCCACAGGAACUCCGGUGGCGAAGGCGGCGAGCUGGACCCUUUCUGACGCUGAGGCGCGAAAGCCAGGGGAGCGAACGGG
This 253-nucleotide ribosomal RNA is filed under the name uncultured bacterium. Its description in RNAcentral is "partial 16S ribosomal RNA". It matches the Rfam family "Bacterial small subunit ribosomal RNA", at positions 524 to 776 of the family's 1533-position model. The record is from RNAcentral.